UAUUUCGUAUAUAUAUGUUUAUAGGUUUAUUCGUAUCAACAAAUCUGUGUACGAGUUAAUAACGCACCCUGGGUUCCCUGCAUUUUCAGUGACAGAGAACCAGAUAUAAGAAUGCAGGGAAACAAGCCUUGUUACAAGGUUUGAGGGUCUCUGCUAGAAUCAUGUGGACCCCAGUGUAACACAUCUAUGGAAAGAGAGAAAAUCUCAGCUCAAGGGUCAACAUGUCUUUAUUCCAAGAAAGAGUGUACAUAUGCCAGAAUCAUAUGGACCGCAGACUGGCCCUGGUGAUUCCGUUAAGAAAAAAGAGGAAAAAUCAGUGCUUGUGCUCAUUGGUCAUUGGACAAAGGGUGUAUGCCAGAAUUUUUUGAAGAACAGUCUGAAUCUGACAUGAAAAAAAUGAAGAAAAACAGCCUUCCUGUUUAUAAAUCUACAUUCUGACAAAGGAUCAUUUCCUUGAGAUAGGUGGAACCAACAGUCAAAUCCAGACACCUUUAAGAAAAGUAAAAAUCUGACUCAGGUAAGAAAGAAAUUCAGUUCUUAAAUUGCCCUCAGAGUUCUUGGAUUGCAUCAAACUGCUAAAAGACCUCAACAAAAACAGUGUCUUGAAAAAAAAAUGAAAAUAUUCAGUGAAAAAAAAAUUAUGAGAGAAAAAGCCACUAAAAAUCUUCAAGCCUUUGAGCUGAAAUCUGGAAGUCAAUCUGUGGACUUUACUGGUAUGUCUUACUAAUUAAGUCAUCAUUUGUGUAUAAUAAAUGCACUAAACUGUAAACACUUGUUAAAAUGUAUAUAAUUUUUAGAUAUAAUUUGUAGCUCACAGACAUCAAUAGUUUCAUGUAAUUUAAGUGAUAAUGAAAAUUUCCUGUUGUCUGGCUAGAUUAGAAACUAUAUAUUAUUGUCCAAUUUUGGAUAUUGUGAAAUAAUUCAUUUAGUAAAAUUGGGUAUGCAUACAUGUGUGUACACUUACAUGUAAAUUAAUUGUUAUAGCAAAUUUAAUCUAUCAUUAAGUUGAAUGUUGACUAAUGUUUUUCAUCAAAAUUGUUUACAUUGAAUUGUUUGUGGA
Saccostrea echinata is the source of this 1060-nucleotide long non-coding RNA. RefSeq lists it as uncharacterized. The transcript has 6 exons. The record is from RefSeq and is a predicted model, not a curated record. NCBI's taxonomy places the organism in Eukaryota, Metazoa, Mollusca, Bivalvia, Ostreida, Ostreidae.